UUCUGUUCGAGUUUAUUUUUAGUUCUACUCAGGUCUCAGACAUGUAAUUUCCCGUAGCCAUCUCCCAGACUUCGGGGUCGACGAUGGACAUUCAAUUUUCAAUCACCAACAUGAACACGAGUGAUAUUCAGGAGCAGAGUGGUGAACAGCUGCUGAGGGAUCAGCUUGUUGUUGAGAUUGAACGUAUGUAUUCGGACUACAACAAAUUAAAAGCUGCAACAGUUACGAGUUUACGGUCGUAUAGUUGGUUCCUGUUGAUAAGAAUACCGUGGCGUUGGGGAUGCUGGACGAACCACCUU
Asterias rubens (European starfish) is the source of this 299-nucleotide long non-coding RNA. RefSeq lists it as uncharacterized. Lineage: Eukaryota; Metazoa; Echinodermata; Asteroidea; Forcipulatida; Asteriidae. The transcript has 4 exons. The record is from RefSeq and is a predicted model, not a curated record.